RNAcentral lists this ribosomal RNA (497 nucleotides) under uncultured bacterium. Its description in RNAcentral is "partial 16S ribosomal RNA". It matches the Rfam family "Bacterial small subunit ribosomal RNA", at positions 28 to 507 of the family's 1533-position model. The record is from RNAcentral.
GAUGAACGCUGGCGGCGUGCCUAAUACAUGCAAGUCGAGCGAACGGACGAGAAGCUUGCUUCUCUGAUGUUAGCGGCGGACGGGUGAGUAACACGUGGAUAACCUACCUAUAAGACUGGGAUAACUUCGGGAAACCGGAGCUAAUACCGGAUAAUAUUUUGAACCGCAUGGUUCAAAAGUGAAAGACGGUCUUGCUGUCACUUAUAGAUGGAUCCGCGCUGCAUUAGCUAGUUGGUAAGGUAACGGCUUACCAAGGCAACGAUGCAUAGCCGACCUGAGAGGGUGAUCGGCCACACUGGAACUGAGACACGGUCCAGACUCCUACGGGAGGCAGCAGUAGGGAAUCUUCCGCAGUGGGCGAAAGCCUGACGGAGCAACGCCGCGUGAGUGAUGAAGGUCUUCGGAUCAUAAAACUCUGUUAUUAGGGAAGAACAUAUGUGUAAGUAACUGUGCACAUCUUGACGGUACCUAAUCAGAAAGCCACGGCUAACUACGUG